RNAcentral lists this unclassified non-coding RNA (5643 nucleotides) under Hevea brasiliensis (rubber tree). The record is from RNAcentral. Lineage: Eukaryota; Viridiplantae; Streptophyta; Magnoliopsida; Malpighiales; Euphorbiaceae.
UAUAACAAUCUCAUAUACUUUUCAUUCAUAUGUAUUAAUAUUCAAAUGUCUUGUUUCUUUAUACAAUAAAAAUUGAGUGGAGGGCAAACAAACAAUGAAAAAAAAAACAAAUAUUGGUAUCUCUAAAGAAUACAAACCCAACAAAUAUAUUUCCUUUGCCCUUCCCAUGGAUGGAUUUUACAGAUUUGAAUUUCAAAAAUGAAAUAAAUUAAUGAAAGAUUUUACACAGGGGCAGGGAAGAAGAAAAGAAUAUAGGGAAAAAAGAAAAAGAAGAAAGAAAGAAAGAUUAACUUUACAACCCUCAUAUCCUUGACCAGAGAGAUUGAUUGCUGCCUACUUCAAACAAAAAAGAUGAGAAGCUUGAGCUUCCUUAGCCUCACUCUUGUAAAAACUGGAAGGCUGGAUUCCCAAGUAGUUCCUCCGCUGGUUGAACACCCAUAAAAUCUCUCUCUUGCAGUGAAUUUGAAAGGUCAUCAAUAGAGAAUGGGAUGCCAGAAUUGUCAUCCAACAAAAAGGAACUGCUGACAGCAUCGUUGGAGUCUUCUGUCAUAAGCACCCUCAUGCUGGAAAUGACAUUAGGAGACACACUUCGAGUAUUAUAGUUGUCAUCCCAGUACAGUGUACAGAUUCGGUACAGCUGCUGCACACUCAGGAUAGGGCACAGAUCAUUAGUGAUUUCAUCAUAGGAUAUUCUGUACUUCUGAUGUAUAACCAAAAAUCCGACAGCCUGUCUUAUGUGCUUUAGUUCAUCCCAAGACGAGCCAGCAUACUCUUCUUUUGCUUGACAACACCAUAGCUCUAGCUCAGCUAAUCCAGCUUUCACAUAUUCACCAUUGCUAAAUGUACAACACUCACGGCGCAAGAGAAGACUAUUGAAUAAUUGUACAUUGAUGUAUGAGAAAGUUUGAGUAAAGAUCUUCUGGAUAAGAACUGGAGGCACCUGAAAUACCAAUAACUCUGAGAAUUUUUGUGCAUUUAAAAGACAAUUAGAAGAGAAAACAAUGAAGCUCAUACAAAAUUUUGUUUCAACGUGCUGAGAAGAAUGUUGAGACUAUCGAUUAUGCUCUGCCAAUGACUUGCAGGAGAAUCUUUACUGAAGGAACGCCCAGAUCUUAGUACACCUCCUUUAGAUGUUCUAGGGGCCUGUAUGCAUAAUGAAAGCAAAGAUGACAAUUCCUUCUUCAAGUUGUCUCGAAUAAUUCCAUAAAUUUUCUCCACAUAUGCCGCAAGCUGUUGCUUGAAAAGCAAGGCUGGGUAUUUUGCCUCUACUUGGCACACUACUGAUAGUGCAGCAGCAGCAGCAAGAUUGGAAGAUGAGGGAGAAGAACGAAAACCCAUCGUCAUCCUCCCAAACAAGGAUGCUGCAGAGGAUGACUUCCUAUUUGGAGUUGCACCACUAGCACCAGCUGCCUUCAGACUUCGUUGCAGCAAAAACAAUAAAGUAGAUGUAUUUGAUAACCAGUAAGCCAUAUGAUCAUUGUUAUCUUCAUUCUCAAUUGCAGAACCAAUCAUUUGAAUUAGACGAUCAAACACACUAGUCCUUUCUGCUUCAAAGGAUUUCCAGUGGAGAAGACAUUUGUAUAUGGUAAAUGCUGCCACAGGCUUUCCAUGACUAUACCCAAUGUUAUUCGCAACACAAUUGAUAAGAGCAUCAAUAUUCUCAUUUUGGCGUUCAAUGUGGGAUCUCCUAAACUUGCUAUCUGACUCUGUGCCAAACAUCUUUACAGGUGUUGUACUAUGUGGUUCAUUGGUUUUGUGCUCUUCAUUCACAUGGUGACCAUUUUCCAAAAUAUGAGUUGCUGGAAUAGGUGGCUUCUCGGAUGUCUUCUUAACAGGUGUCUGAAACUGUUUAAGAAUUUGGUUCUCAAUUUCCAUGUCUGAAAAUUUUUCUUCCAGCCUGGAAGCAAAUCAAGAAAAGGGGGGAAAAAGAGCAUCAUUAUUAACGCAUUAACAGGAACAACCCACAUUGCAUUUAAUUAGUCAUCUAAUAAUAUCAUUGCCCAUCUCAGCAGUGUAGCUUAAACAUGCCAACAACCUAUGCAUUGCAGUCUUCAGUUCAACUAUCCUCGACUCUGCCUCCAAAGCUUGCUUCAAUCUUUCUUCGCUUAUUUUGUUUGUCUCUUCAAAUCUUUUUUCUGUUUCAUCAAUUUUCUGUUCCAGUGAACUAACCAGAGCCUUGAGUUUCUCAUUUUCUGUAGUAAGCUUAUCCAGCAUCGCAGGAUCAACUACAGGAACCUCCUGUAUAACAGGGACAAUCUCUUUGGCCUUCUUGGUAGCCUCCCGUUCCUUUAUGAGCAUUUCUUUAGUUUCUUUGAACUGAAGUUGCAUUUCUUGUAAAGCAGACUGCAGCUUUGCAUUCUCUUGUGUUUUAGAUUCUUCUAUAUCGGCCCUCAUGCGUUUCUCCAGCUGAAGUCUCCAUGUCAAUUCUUCAACCUGCUUUUCCAAUUUAUUUUUAGCAGCUUGAAGAGCACCAGUUUCUCUUGCAGCCAUUUUAAGUUUCCGCAGUUCUUUUCGAGCAACUCUCACUCUCCAUGCACAUUGCGUCACAACUGCUGCUUUCUUUAACUCCAUAUAAUGUAACCGGGCCAAGUAUUUGCGACAUUGGCUCUGAAUUACAAUUGCUGCUCUAGUCUGCCUUCUGAAGCGUAACUCAUCCCUAGCAGCCAUCCCACGCAUACCCGUUUGAAUACAAAUAGCAGAGCAACACAAUUCAGUAUAAGCUUUCCUAGCAAAAUACAUUCGCAAACAUCUUUGGAUCCUCAGAGAAGCAGCCUCUCUUCGCAUGUUCUCGUAAACUUGCCGAGCAAGUUGUCCUCUGCAUGCUGCUUGAAUCUGUACUGCAGAAUGACGGACCAUGAUAAAACUUCUGCGAGACAAAUAAGACCGCACUUUUCUCUGAAUAAUGCUCGCUGAUCUUCCUAAUAUGUCACUCCUACGAGCAUCCAGUUCAGCCAUUUGACCAGCCCUAAGGAAUACUUUGGUUUUACCAAUCUUCAAAAUCAAAUGGAAGUGUAAUAUUAGCAUAAAAAGGAAAAAAAGAUAGAUGUCCAUCUCACGUGACAAUUUGGCAAGCAAAAGCAAGUUAAUUAAGAAAAUGAUGGGCUCAUAAGGCUAGAUACUAUUAUAAGAUCAACAAGGAAAAACAACAGCGAUAAAUUCCGCAGCAUUACAGUGCAAUAAGCAUGGCAUAAUGCCUGGCAGUCGAAUGAAAAUAAUAUUUCUCCUUUGAGUUUGAUAGGUACACUAAUAAUGAAUCUAUAAAUCAUACAAUUAAGCUUAGAAGAGGAAUUAUUCACUUCUCAGAAAAAAACCUGAUAGCCUUUAAGUUCCACUUUCUCCAGAAGCCUUUUGCAUGCAGUAACUUCAUCACAACUGCCAUCCAAAACUUCCGGUGCAAGGAUUCCAAAUCGGUCUACAAAUUCAUCAAAUGGCCUUCUAGUAGGGUAUCCUGCACAACUAAUCCUAAUUGCUUCCAUAACUCCCCCGCACCGUAGUUGUUGAAGAACAUUUUUAUUCUCAAAAAUUGCUGGCUUAAGAAGAUUGUUGGGCUUCACACAACGAAUGUAAUGCGGCUCAGUUGAACUGAGAGUUUCAAGCAAUGCUUGUAGUUGUUGCUUAAACCGAGAACCGAUUGAAGAGAAUUUUGACUGUUUAGAGGAUUCUUCAGCUAAAAAUGGAAACAUUCCCGAAACAAAGGAACAUUCUGAAGCACUUAAGAGUGCCUGAUGUUCAGCAACAACAUAGUCCUUGUUCUUGUCCAGAAAUAGUUCAGUUUGAUAUGUAACAUCACCAGCAUAAUGGCAAAUUGUGAAGUCACUUCGAGCUAAUUUUGGUUUGGUGAACCGUUUAUGAUUUUUAAAUGUCUGGUACAACUUUUGAGCAAAAGUUUCAUGGGUUGAUCUUGGAAACAUGCAUGAUUCAUCUAGCAGAGCAAUUAUACCACCAGGUUUCUUUUCAAUGAGAUCCAGAAUAUCUUGAUUAUCAACAAAAUCAAUGUAGCUCCAAUCAAUUUCUUCUUUUGUAUAUUCUUCUUGCUCCAUUUUGAAGACGUGCUGAUUAAAAUGUUGCUGAAGUUUCUCAUUUGUCAAGUUGAUGCAAAACUGCUCAAAACUGUUUGUCUUGAAACUCUCAAAUCCAUAAAUAUCCAGCACGCCAAUCAAGAACUUUGACUCAGGGUCUUGACCAAUUGAACUAUUAAUUUUACCCACAAGCCAAUCAAACAACCUUGAGUACAAAAUUUUAGCCAAUGCAUCUCUACUAACAGCGGCAGAUUCUGGAUCCAACCACUUUGUAAUGGUUUCAUCACGAGUUACAAUUACACGUUUGCAGAUAGAGUCUUCUAGUGCCUUCACAUUGCACAUUAAAAGCUCAGCAGCAGUUUUUAGAUGAAACCGAGACUUUUCAUCUUUAGGCACAGAGGAGUCUAUUUCCUUUCCUUUUGCAAAUUCAAUAUUUCCAAGAUGGAGGAUUGCAGCCACUACACGAAAUAUGGCAUCCUGCUCAUCAGAACUUAUUCCAACAAUAUCCAUCGCCCUCCUUGUUGCAAUGUACUCCUUAGAAUCGUCAACACCAUCCAAUUCAUAGCAAUUUGAUUGAUUUAGAUAAUGAAAUGUUCUUGGGUUUCCCAAUUUGUAUCUCUGAAGAUCCUCGAGUGGUGCAGCACAAAGCAUGUAGAAGCAGUGAUAAUUUCUCUCAGGAUCAGAAACCUGACACACACGUGAUCUUUCUAGCAAAUAAGUUCUGAUUGCAGCUCCUGAAAUCCUUCCCCUCUGAUCAAACUGAAUCUCCACAAACUUACCAAAACGACUCGAGUUAUUAUUUCUAACAGUCUUGGCAUUACCAAAUGCUUCUAAAACAGGAUUGGACUCCAGGACUUGCUGCUCAACAGUUCUCCCCUCAGCAACAGCUCUCCCUCCCAUGUAGGCAAGAUAACGCAUAAGCAAUUUUGUGCUUUCCGUUUUACCAGCCCCACUCUCACCACUAACUAAAAUUGACUGACUGACUCCUUCAUUGAUCAUUAGCCUGUAUGCAGAAUCUGCAACAGCAAAGGGAUGUGGACUCAGCUCACCAAAGGCUGCACCUUUAUAUUGUGCCAUCAUAUGACUAUCAUAGAGAUGUGGCAACUUUCUAAAAGGAUUCACGGCAAUUAAUAUAUUCCCUGUGUAAGUAUAAAUUUCAUUCAUAUCAUAUCUUGAUCUUAAAUUCUGCAAGACUCCUGGUUCAUGCAAAUAAGCCAGUUUUGUCAUAUCAUCCACUCCACAUGGUGGGGCUUCAGCAUCUUUAGCAUAAACAUUGGAAGCUUUAACAACAACCGUCUUUCCUGAUGUGCAAAGGACCUUAAUAUCUUCCCCCUUAAUGUCCACAACUUCACCAUCAACCCAAGCUUCAUCAGGAUCUUCUAGCCAAACAGGAGAUCCAACCACCAGACCAACAGCAGCAGCCAUUUCCACCGAGAUUGAUCAGAUCAAAACUUGGGUUGCUCCUCGAUCUACUUCUACAGUCUUCAAUAACAACCAUUCAAAGUCCAGAACCAAAAAAAAGAACUUCCCUUCCCUUUUCCCUUUCCCUUCUUGGGUGCAACUUAAAUCGAUUUACACUAAUAACAACAACCAAAAAUGAAAAAACUUCAAAAAAAAAAAAAAG